RNAcentral lists this ribosomal RNA (774 nucleotides) under uncultured Neocallimastigales. RNAcentral's name for it is "partial large subunit ribosomal RNA". It matches the Rfam family "Eukaryotic large subunit ribosomal RNA", at positions 24 to 647 of the family's 3401-position model. Lineage: Eukaryota; Fungi; Neocallimastigomycota; Neocallimastigomycetes; Neocallimastigales. The record is from RNAcentral.
GUAGUCUCGCACAGAUGCAUAUCAAUAAGCGGAGGAAAAGAAACUACAAGGAUUCCCCUAGUAACGGCGAGUGAAGCGGGAAGAGCUCAAAUUUGAAAUCUUAAAGGGUUUCCCUUUACGAAUUGUAGUUUAAAGAAGUGUUUUCUGUUGAGGUUUUGGUAAAAGUUCUUUGGAAUAGGACAUCAUAGAGGGUGAGAAUCCCGUAUUUGACCUUUACUUUCAACUUUGUGAUACACUUUCAAAGAGUCGGAUUGUUUGGGAAUGCAGUCCAAAAUGGGUGGUAAAUUUCAUCUAAAGCUAAAUAUUGGCGAGAGACCGAUAGCGAACAAGUACCGUGAGGGAAAGAUGAAAAGAACUUUGAAAAGAGAGUUAAACAGUACGUGAAAUUGUCAAAAGGGAAGCGUUUGACACCAGUGUUGUUUUUCUGAAAAUCAAUUAAAGAACUGUUUAUGCUAAGCUGUUUAGACUUUAUCAGCUAACUGUUUAGUUUCGAGCUUUUCUUUAAUGCACUUUUCAGUUAACAAGUCAACAUCAAUUUCUUUUGCUGUAAAAAAGCUUGAGGAAGGUGGCUUGAGAUUCGUCUUAAGUGUUUAUAGCCUCUUGCCUAUGCAGUCGGAGAGAUUGAGGUCUGCAGCGUAGAUCCUUCGGGGCUAAAUAGCAUUUGUGCUAAGUUAUAGCAUUUUAUAGACAACUUGUUGACUAUGAUUCGUCUUGUAGCUUACUCGCUUAUGUUAUUUUACCUACGCUUAGGAUGUUGACGCAUGAGAUAUACGC